GUUCAAGCACAUUGCAGUAAUCCUGACCUGAUUUUCCACUUCAUCAGGAAAAAGGCGCAGUAUGCUUAAGAGUAUAACAUAAAUUACUCUCCAUCUUUAAAUCAUGUUUCACUCUUUGCCAGCAGCCAGCCUGGGCUAUGAGGUAACCAUGGGAAUGGAGGUUCACGCACUAUGGAACAAGGAAGAAGAGUGCAUACACGUCUCAGGGGAUGUAAAGAGAAGACACUGGUGAAAAGACUGAUGACUGUACUCCAAUACAUUCUGUAGCAAUAGAACUCUUGAUUUUUAUCUAGCCACGUGGCCACCUGAAAUAAAACCUACAUUUCCCAACCUCUCUUGCAAUUAAGUACAUGGUCUUCAGGUCAUGUGACU
Molecule: non-coding RNA, 372 nt
Organism: Microcebus murinus (gray mouse lemur)
Lineage: Eukaryota; Metazoa; Chordata; Mammalia; Primates; Cheirogaleidae
Source: RefSeq, a predicted model, not a curated record